RNAcentral lists this ribosomal RNA (485 nucleotides) under uncultured bacterium. RNAcentral describes it as "partial 16S ribosomal RNA". It matches the Rfam family "Bacterial small subunit ribosomal RNA", at positions 355 to 829 of the family's 1533-position model. The record is from RNAcentral.
UGGGGAAUUUUGGACAAUGGGCGAAAGCCUGAUCCAGCAAUGCCGCGUGUGUGAAGAAGGCCCUUCGGGUUGUAAAGCACUUUUGUCCGGAAAGAAAUCCUUGGCUCUAAUACAGUCGGGGGAUGACGGUACCGGAAGAAUAAGCACCGGCUAACUACGUGCCAGCAGCCGCGGUAAUACGUAGGGUGCAAGCGUUAAUCGGAAUUACUGGGCGUAAAGCGUGCGCAGGCGGUUUGCUAAGACCGAUGUGAAAUCCCCGGGCUCAACCUGGGAACUGCAUUGGUGACUGGCAGGCUAGAGUAUGGCAGAGGGGGGUAGAAUUCCACGUGUAGCAGUGAAAUGCGUAGAGAUGUGGAGGAAUACCGAUGGCGAAGGCAGCCCCCUGGGCCAAAUACUGACGCUCAUGCACGAAAGCGUGGGGGAGCAAACAGGAUUAGAUACCCUGGUAGUCCACGCCCUAAACGAUGUCAACUAGUUGUUGGGGA